Molecule: transfer RNA, 71 nt
Filed under: Gemmatimonadota bacterium
Lineage: Bacteria; Pseudomonadati; Gemmatimonadota
Also listed under: 1 other name
Description: Gemmatimonadetes bacterium (sediment metagenome) tRNA-Cys
Rfam family: tRNA
About the family: Transfer RNA (tRNA) molecules are approximately 80 nucleotides in length. Their secondary structure includes four short double-helical elements and three loops (D, anti-codon, and T loops).
Source: RNAcentral
GGUCCCGUAGCCAAGUGGUUAGGCAGUGGCCUGCAAAGCCAUCAACGCCGGUUCGAAUCCGGCCGGGACCU